This 259-nucleotide long non-coding RNA is filed under the name Gossypium raimondii (Peruvian cotton). RNAcentral describes it as "long non-coding RNA (GRAI_LNC000999)". The record is from RNAcentral. Lineage: Eukaryota; Viridiplantae; Streptophyta; Magnoliopsida; Malvales; Malvaceae.
UUUUUAGAAAAGAAAGUCAAAAUUCGGUUAUGGGAAAAAAAUAAAAUAAAAUCUCGAUAACCACAAAAAUCCUUUAAUCUUCUCCCGUAAUUCCCACUACACAUCCACUACUCAGAAUCCCCCUAUUACACAACUCUAUCCCAAAAUCUGAGCAAAAAAAUAAUACCCUUGCCUGCAUAGGGAUUCGAACACAAGACCCCCACCAUAAUAAGACACCAUUUAACCACCAAACCAGCAAGCCCAUUCUGAUGUAAUUUAC